CCAACUUUCUAAGUUUGACC
Molecule: ribosomal RNA, 20 nt
Filed under: Scolecobasidium fusiforme
Lineage: Eukaryota; Fungi; Ascomycota; Dothideomycetes; Venturiales; Sympoventuriaceae
Description: partial 26S ribosomal RNA
Source: RNAcentral